AGAAACUAAAUAAAAACAAUUAAAACUGAAUGACUAAAAAGAACCUGAGGAAAAGCAAAGCUACAUAUCGUUUUUAAAUAUGUCCACAGUUUCAGCCCCCCUCAGGUUCUCUGGCAGGUUAUUCCAGAGGCUGGGACCAUAGUAACUAAAGGCUGGGGGCAUAGUAACUAAAGGCUGGGGACAUAGUAACUAAAGGCUGGGGGCAUAGCAACUAAAGGCUGGGGGCAUAGCAACUAAAGGCUGGGGGCCCAUAGUAACUAAAGGCUGGGGACAUAGUAACUAAAGGCUGGGGGCCCAUAGUAACUAAAGGCUGGGGGCAUAGUAACUAAAGACUGGGGACAUAGUAACUAAAGGCUGGGGACAUAGUAACUAGAGGCUGGGGCCAUAGUAACUAAAGGCUGGGGGCAUAGUAACUAAAGGCUGGGGGCAUAGUAACUAAAGGCUGGGGGCAUAGUAACUAAAGGCUGGGGGCAUAGUAACUAAAGGCUGGGGACAUAGUAACUAAAGGCUGGGGCCAUAGUAACUAGAGGCUGGGGACAUAGUAACUAGAGGCUGGGGGCAUAGUAACUAAAGGCUGGGGGCAUAGUAACUGAAGGCUGGGGGCAUAGUAACUAAAGGCUGGGGACAUAGUAACUAAAGGCUGGGGGCAUAGUAACUAAAGGCUGGGGGCAUAGUAACUAAAGGCUGGGGGCAUAGUAACUAAAGUCUGG
Molecule: long non-coding RNA, 710 nt
Filed under: Salmo salar (Atlantic salmon)
Lineage: Eukaryota; Metazoa; Chordata; Actinopteri; Salmoniformes; Salmonidae
Description: lncRNA (ENSSSAG00000089950.1)
Source: RNAcentral